AUAAUCUAAAUAUUUUCUUGAUAGCGAAACUUAAACUAAAAGAAUCCAUCGACAUCCCUACAACUGAACUAAAAACUUAAACCAAGGAACAUCAUCCGACAUGAACAUUGUCCCUACAAUGUAACUAAAACUGAAAGCAUCCAUCAUCAUCAUCAUGAAUAGGAACAUCAUCAUCAUCAUUGCAUUAUGCUUUCCACUUACCCAUAUAAUCCAUUUAUCUUUUGAAUCUAUAAACAUAAAAACAGAACGAACUGUCAGCACACAAGGCAUUGAUAUGAUGCAAGUAGUGAUAUCGGCAGGAUAUUAGUCAUGUACAAACAUCACAACAGGUGUAACCAUGGGAAUUACAAAAUCUUAGCUUGUAAAUAUCUGGUUUGCAAUUUAAGUUCCUAUCGCCUUAAAACAGAAAUCCACAAGUAUAUCAUUUUUCGACAAUGCAAGGAAAAUCAUCCCAGCCUUUGAAACAUAGCAGGCACAAGUUUCUUCAAACAUUGUAAAAAAGGCUAAUAAGGUCAUUCUCCUAUACAUACUUAUUUCCCUCUAGGAAACAUUCUACUAAGGAAUUUGUCCCUGGAACUUGUCCUAUUUGGUUUAUUGGAUGAGCCUUACUAAGUAUGCCAAGAAGUAAAAAAAAGGCAACUAGGAAAGUUUGCUCAUACUAGUGGAGCACCGUAAACUUUAGUCGACCAUGCUACUAGUUGUGACGAACAUUAAAAUUGCUAUCAAUUGUGAAGUGAUUUUUUUAAUACAUUAGAUAACAUCAGUUUUCAGCACACACAUGUAUCUUCUAUUUUUUUGCUUCAUAAAUGUGUAUAAAUACUGAAUAUCUUAAAAAAAGGCCGAUUUGGGGAGUCACAAACAUAAAUUACAUGCGCUUUUUACCUAAGUUAUGCAUACCUGUCGUCAUUCAUGUAUGAUAGUAGCCUUCAAGUCCCAGUUGUGGUCUGAAGUUGCAGUACACCUGAUCAUAUGUCAUACAGGCCAAUGCUUAAUCACAUGUCAGCAUCAAUAUAUACCAAAAAAAUUAUGGUACCAUGGAAAAAAGAUAGGGGAGACAUGCAGCCUUCCAGUCAACUGCGUUUUGCAGCUAUAUUCAAAGCUUCUAAUAAUAUAUAAUC
This 1118-nucleotide long non-coding RNA is filed under the name Triticum aestivum (bread wheat). Its description in RNAcentral is "long non-coding RNA (TAES_LNC021147)". Lineage: Eukaryota; Viridiplantae; Streptophyta; Magnoliopsida; Poales; Poaceae. The record is from RNAcentral.